RNAcentral lists this ribosomal RNA (506 nucleotides) under uncultured bacterium. RNAcentral describes it as "partial 16S ribosomal RNA". It matches the Rfam family "Bacterial small subunit ribosomal RNA", at positions 29 to 523 of the family's 1533-position model. The record is from RNAcentral.
AGUGAACGCUGGCGGUAGGCCUAACACAUGCAAGUCGAACGGCAGCACAGGAGAGCUUGCUCUCUGGGUGGCGAGUGGCGGACGGGUGAGGAAUACAUCGGAAUCUACUCUGUCGUGGGGGAUAACGCAGGGAAACUUACGCUAAUACCGCAUACGACCUACGGGUGAAAGCAGGGGACCUUCGGGCCUUGCGCGAUUGAAUGAGCCGAUGUCGGAUUAGCUAGUUGGCGGGGUAAAGGCCCACCAAGGCGACGAUCCGUAGCUGGUCUGAGAGGAUGAUCAGCCACACUGGAACUGAGAGACGGUCCAGACUCCUACGGGAGGCAGCAGUGGGGAAUAUUGGACAAGGGGCGCAAGCCUGAUCCAGCCAUACCGCGUGGGUGAAGAAGGCCUUCGGGUUGUAAAGCCCUUUUGUUGGGAAAGAAAUCCAGCUGGCUAAUACCCGGUGGGGAUGACGGUACCCAAAGAAUAAGCACCGGCUAACUUCGUGCCAGCCGCCGCCGUAA